UGAGGGAGAACUGCCCUGUGUCCUAAGCCC
RNAcentral lists this non-coding RNA (30 nucleotides) under Homo sapiens (human). Lineage: Eukaryota; Metazoa; Chordata; Mammalia; Primates; Hominidae. The record is from RNAcentral.